RNAcentral lists this long non-coding RNA (2303 nucleotides) under Sus scrofa (pig). Its description in RNAcentral is "lncRNA (ENSSSCG00030068147.1)". Lineage: Eukaryota; Metazoa; Chordata; Mammalia; Artiodactyla; Suidae. The record is from RNAcentral.
CUUCCUUCCUUCUUCUUUUUUUUCCCCCAUGUGUAUUUAUGAAUUUCUUUCACAAUAAUUCAAACAUUCACAUUCAUACAAGUAUACCAUAAGCCCAACAUUGACCCUUAUCCUUCUAGAUCCUUUAAGCAGAAUUAAGUAGAAAAUUGCUGCUUCCUUUAGAGGUGCAAGAUAUAGGUCAUCUCUAUGGUCACACAUCUACCCCCCCCCCAUUUUAUCUGUGCUUUUAGUGUCUAUACAGAUUGUGGUAUGGUUGUGUGGCUUUCUUUGGCCAAAGGGACCAUAGAAAAUGUGACAUAAGCAGAGGCUUGAAAAAUACCUGUGCACUGAGGCUUCAUCUCUUGCCACCCUUUGAAACCCUGAGGCCAUGUGAAGAAGCCCGGGCUAGCCUGUUGAAGGGUGAGAACAUCACUUCAGCUGAUAGUGAGCCUACUGCCAGCCACAAGAAUGAGGCCCCUCUUGUUUGUUCAUUUCCGUCAAGUCAACUCAACCAGAACAGCUGCACUGUCCAGCCUACCCACAGAAUUGUGGGAAAUGAUCGACGGUUGAAAGCUAUUAAGUUUUGGGGUGGUUUGUUACAUAGCCAAAACCGUGUAGCAAAUAAUAACCAACCUCGUUAUGUUUCUCCUUUAAGCUUUGUUAUUAGGGAUGCCUUUCCUUGAAUGUUAGGCAUUGUUUGGAUAUAUGAUUAUUAACUGUUUUACGAUGACCAGCUUCUGUUUGUGGUCAAGCAUCUUAGGAAGUUUUCCUGAGUGGUCAUGGCGACCCUUUAUAAAGGUUGCUUCUAGUGUGCUUGUGGAUGGGUUUCAUGGCAAGCAAUGUCCCAUUCCAGGGAGCAAGGUCCUCAGGGCAAGAACCCCAAACAGGGCUUGGCACAUGUGGCGCACCCCGCCCCUCCCCUUCCUCACCCCACAGGCACUUUUCCUAAUCUCUGAGGCUGGUUAAAUCCUUACUUCUAUCUUCACGUCCAUUAUUAUUGCUAUCAUAACCUCACUUCCUCGAUGCCUCCUUCAAAUUAGCAUCUGUCUUACAAUGAGUCUACAAAAGAAAAGCUAUUAGUAUUGCCCACCCCCGCCCCCUCCCCCUUCUUUUGGCUGUGCCCUGGGCCAUGCAGAAGUUCCUAGGCCAGGGAUCCAACCCAUGCCAUAGCAAUGACAACACUGGAUCCUUAAUUGAUAGGCCACCAGGGAACUCCUGCUUCUUCUUUGAGGUAAAAGAGAUAUUAGGUAAAAUGGGAAUUCUGUUAUGACAGGCUUGUUCUGCUGUGAGGCCAGUCUUAGCCCCUUCACCCUUGAUUAGAUCCCCUUUUUGCUCCAAUCUAUUGUGGACUCAACCAUCAUGCUGGUGCUUCAUCAUUUAGUUCUCAUUUCAUUCCAACAAAGCUCCCAGAGACUUAUCAUCCAUCAGAAUAAUCCCUUUACAGCACUCACCUCAACUUGGCACUCUCCGUUCCCAAGUUCUCAGGGCCCCCCACGCUCUAUGGGUAAAGUCUCAGUCCUUCAGCCAAGCCUUUAGGGCCUUCCAGAAUUUGGCCUCGCUCUGCUUUACCAACGGGGCAUCUCCUCUGUGAAGUUCUCCACCACCUGGGCCCAUGGAGCAGUCUGGGUCUCAGUCACUCGUCCGUUAUUGAUGACAUGCAAUGUGUGAAGUCAAUUCUCAAGCUUGAGUUUUCCAAUCCUCCCAGAUUUGACUAUGUGCUCCUCACGGGACAGAUUCUAGGUCGCCACACCUCCCAAAGGGCCUAGACAGUGGCUUGUUUGAGGCCAGUGCUCAAUACACAGCCAGCAGCGCAUUGGUUUCUAAACUCCGAAAACAGCAUUUCUCAAAGUGGGGUGCCUACACUCCCGCACAGAGUAACUUGGGAUGUUUAUUAAAGCAUGCUCUGUCUCCUGGGCUCCUUCUCAGACCUACUGAGUUUGCCUUUCUGGGCUAAGGCCCAGGAAUCUACAUGGUGAGCAAGCUUCCCUAGGAUCUUCAUGCUCCUAAAACCCCGACACUCCUUCUAUGACUGUAGGUCUUCAAGGGAGAAAAUGCUGUCCAUAUAUGCAGGGCCUGGUGGGCUCCUUUCCUUAGGUAAAACGUAGGGAUCCCGAACUUACUGAAACUUCUAGACUCUGGAAUUGAGAUUUUUGGUGGGGGUGGGGGUGGUGUGCCCUUGGGAAGAUGGGUUUGAAAAGGCAUGACGAGAAGAUGAUCGCAUGAUUUAUCUUUGGGAAGAACCCCUUUGUUCUUAUGAUAAAAACUACAGAAAAACUGAAGUGUGACCAAAUCUUCCUGUGCCAAGACCUGCUGAACUAUAUGGU